GCAAACUUGGUCAUUUAGAGGAAGUAAAAGUCGUAACAAGGUUUCCGUAGGUGAGUGAACCACGCCCUUGCCCCCCAACUCUCUAUGAUGUACUAACUGUGAUUAAUAGGUGAACCUGCGGAAGGAUCAUUACCGAGUACCGGUGCCCUCUGGGUGCCUACUCCCACCAUUUGUGAACCUUUGACCGUUGCUUUGGCGGACCGGCUCUGCCCCCCGGCGUUGUUGGGGCGCGUCCGCCAGAGGAUCUUUAAACCCUCUUAACUUUGAAAUCAGAGUUGAUGAAAAUAAAUCAAAACUUUCAACAACGGAUCUCUUGGUUCUGGCAUCGAUGAAGAACGCAGC
This 342-nucleotide unclassified non-coding RNA is filed under the name uncultured fungus. RNAcentral describes it as "partial contains small subunit ribosomal RNA, internal transcribed spacer 1, and 5.8S ribosomal RNA". The stretch from base 1 to 132 matches the Rfam family "Eukaryotic small subunit ribosomal RNA", at positions 1759 to 1831 of the family's 1831-position model. The record is from RNAcentral. Lineage: Eukaryota; Fungi.